This 460-nucleotide ribosomal RNA is filed under the name uncultured bacterium. Its description in RNAcentral is "partial 16S ribosomal RNA". It matches the Rfam family "Bacterial small subunit ribosomal RNA", at positions 338 to 795 of the family's 1533-position model. The record is from RNAcentral.
CCUACGGGAGGCUGCAGUGGGGAAUAUUGGUCAAUGGCCGUAACGCUGAAGCAGCCAAGUCGCGUGAGGGAAGAAGGAACUAUGGAUUGUAAACUUCUUUUAUAGGGGAAUAAAGGUAUCGAUGUCUGGAUAAUUGGAUGUAGCCUAUGACUAAGCAUCGGCUAACUCAGUGCCAGCAGCCCCGGUAAUACGGAGGUUGCGAGCGUUAUCCGGAUUUAUUGGGUUUAAAGGGUGCGUAGGUUGUUAUUUAAGUCAGCGGUGAAAGUUUGUGGCUCAACCAUAAAAGUGCCGUUGAAACUGGAAGACUUGAGUGUGUUUGAGGUAGGCGGAAUGCGUGGUGUAGCGGUGAAAUGCGUAGAUAUCACGCAGAACUCCGAUUGCGAAGGCAGCUUACUAAGCCAUAACUGACACUGAAGCACGAAAGCGUGGGGAUCAAACAGGAUUAGAUACCCGUGUAGUC